CCUACGGGUGGCAGCAGUAGGGAAUAUUGCUCAAUGGGGGAAACCCUGAAGCAGCAACGCCGCGUGGAGGAUGAAGGUUUUCGGAUUGUAAACUCCUUUUGUUAGAGAAGAUAAUGACGGUAUCUAACGAAUAAGCACCGGCUAACUCCGUGCCAGCAGCGGCGGUAAUAAGGAGGGUGCAAGGGUUAUUCGGAGUCACUGGGCGUAAAGGGCGCGUAGGCGGGAUAGCAAGUCAGAUGUGAAAUUCUAUGGCUUAACCAUAGAACUGCAUUUGAGACUGUUAUUCUAGAGUAUGGGAGAGGUAGGUGGAAUUCGUGGUGUAGGGGUAAAAUCCGUAGAGAUCAAGAGGAAUACUCAUUGCGAAGGCGACCUACUAGAACAUCACUGACGCUGAUGCGCGAAAGCGUGGGGAGCAAACAGGAUUAGAUACCCGUGUAGUC
This 440-nucleotide ribosomal RNA is filed under the name uncultured bacterium. RNAcentral describes it as "partial 16S ribosomal RNA". It matches the Rfam family "Bacterial small subunit ribosomal RNA", at positions 338 to 795 of the family's 1533-position model. The record is from RNAcentral.